GUUAACUCCUACUGAUCAGGUGUAAGUAUUUUAGAAAUUUGUAAGACAACUUAUAUUUAGGUGUUUAUGUCUUGUUUGCUUAAGACUAGAGUAUAUGACCUAUAGUUCUAUGAAACAAAAAUACGACACUUGUUAUAUAAGUGUCAUAUGGGUGUCGGGCACCGAUUUUAAAGAGUGUCGAACCAAAGAAAAUAAAUCGUUUCUUUGGGGACACCUAUUUGACUUUUCUGACAAUUGUUGAAUGGAGUGGAGAAAGCACAACAUAUUGAAUGGAGUAAGAUCCAGUUGUUUUGUUUUGUAUUAAUUGAACUGGUUAAUAAACACUUGUUUGAAUAUGGUUUUGUAAAAUUUAGUGAAUACAUGGAUUGAGCUUUAAGAUGAACUUCCUGAACAAUGGACAUAUGUGAACUGUGAUUAAGUGACUAUUUGAUGGCUGGUCUCUUUUCAUUACUUUGUUUGAAUAGAAUGCAGAGUGGACGCCUCUUGUUUGAAUAGUGUUUGAUGUCGAUGUUUUUAAGUCAAAACUUUCACGGUCUAGUUCAUGAUAUAUCUUGUGCUACGAGCUUCUGAAGUCUUAUGUGUUGAAGUUUAAUUAUAGAGCAUUAUACAUAGCUUGAUGUUUUAUUAUGUGGCAUGGUUUGACUUUAUAGUCAUUAAGAGAUCAAAUGAUUUAUACAGGCAUUGAUAAAGUCAACUAGCAGGCUUAGAGAUGCAUUACUUCCUUAAGAUGAACCGAAGUUGGCAACCCCCCCUUGCUUCUUCUUGCUCAGCAGCGAUCUCUGGUUCUCGUCAAUGCAAAUGCACCCUACAUUAAGAUGGUCAGUGAACAGUUUGAUAGAUGCCAUGGAACUAUAGCGUAGAAAAUUGGUGAUAGUACAAUUGUGUUUAAUUAUUUAGGAAUCGAUUGAUGAUAAUACACAUGUAGAAAAUUGUUCACGACAACUUUGUUGAGGCAGUCAAGUUUGUAUUGGUUUUCCUCUUUUCCCUGUUGUCUAUAUUGCUUUGGCUUUAGUACUUAGUGGUUAGGCUGAUUUUUGUAGUCAGUACACUUAUAUGGGCUAGCGAAGAAAAUGGAUAUCACAGUUAUUACUUCCUCACAAGUAAGAUUUUACUUUUAAAUUUUUUGACACUCAUUAAGAGCAAAUCACUAUAGCGGAUACGGCAAGUACUUACUUUAACUUGUUAUAGGAUUAUUUAUAAAAUUAUACACGCACAUUGCUUCUCUGCACACAACUAUGUGAUUUUUAUACAGUUUUAGCAGAGUCAGUUAUUAAACAUUAACACCAGAUCUGGUCAGACUAAUUGUCUUGUCUCUUGUCCUCAGCGUCCUACUUUAAUACCAUUUCAUUCCAUGGAAUUGCGGCUGAUUGAUGGCGAGGGUAAUUGGCAACUCCGUUUGAUCAAGCAAUGAUACUCUGGUAGGUAGUGUUGAUGCAGACUCUCAUAGUUAGAAUAUUUUGCGGAGUCUUGAACAUACUGGCUUAUCGUGAGCGUAAAUAAGGUUGGCCGAUGAUGGUAUCCCCAUUUUCUUCCAUUUUCGUGAGCGUAAACAAGGUUCAAGUUUUGCAGCACCAACCAAAAUGGUUGAUACGAAGUUGAAACAAAACUAUUUAUAGCUGCAGUAUAUUAAGAUCAAUCAUGUACAGUCUCCCCCUUAUAUUCCUAGGUAGUUGAUAUUUAUUCAUAUUUUGUAACCAUUGUUUUAAUAAUAAAAAAAAUAGCUUGAAAUAUAGUAGCUCUUUGAUA
Vicia villosa (hairy vetch) is the source of this 1746-nucleotide long non-coding RNA. RefSeq lists it as uncharacterized. The record is from RefSeq and is a predicted model, not a curated record. NCBI's taxonomy places the organism in Eukaryota, Viridiplantae, Streptophyta, Magnoliopsida, Fabales, Fabaceae. The transcript has 2 exons.